Molecule: ribosomal RNA, 1214 nt
Filed under: Limosilactobacillus reuteri
Lineage: Bacteria; Bacillati; Bacillota; Bacilli; Lactobacillales; Lactobacillaceae
Description: bacterial SSU rRNA
Rfam family: Bacterial small subunit ribosomal RNA (bases 293-1214)
Source: RNAcentral
GUGUACUGCAUGAGUAGCCGGUGGAAUUGCGUAGAUAUAUGGAAGAACAGCUGUGGACGAAUGACGGCUGUCUGGUCUGCAACUGACGCUGAGGCUCGAAAGCAUGUGUAGCGAUACAUGUAUCAGAUACCCUGGUAGUACAUGCAGUGAACGAUGAAGUGUUAGGUGUUGGAGGGUUUCCGCCUUUCAGUGCCGUAGUUAAUGCAUUAAGCAGUCUGCCUGGGGAGUACGACCGCAAGGUUGAAAUUCAAAGGAAUUGACGGGGGCCGGCACAAGCUGUGGAGCAUGUGGUUUUUUUCUCAUGUCUGCGGAUGACCUUCGGCGGUGUUGCUAUUUUGUGCUAGUCUUAGGGAUUGGGCGUUCUGUUUGGUGGUGCUUUGACCUGUUUUGCGUUGGAUCACUAGUGAGUGGCGGACGGGUGAGUAACACGUAGGUAACCUGCCCCGGAGCGGGGGAUAACAUUUGGAAACAGAUGCUAAUACCGCAUAACAGCAAAAGCCACAUGGCUUUUGUUUGAAAGAUGGCUUUGGCUAUCACUCUGGGAUGGACCUGCGGUGCAUUAGCUAGUUGGUAAGGUAACGGCUUACCAAGGCGAUGAUGCAUAGCCGAGUUGAGAGACUGAUCGGCCACAAUGGAACUGAGACACGGUCCAUACUCCUACGGGAGGCAGCAGUAGGGAAUCUUCCACAAUGGGCGCAAGCCUGAUGGAGCAACACCGCGUGAGUGAAGAAGGGUUUCGGCUCGUAAAGCUCUGUUGUUGGAGAAGAACGUGCGUGAGAGUAACUGUUCACGCAGUGACGGUCUCCAACCAGAAAGUCGAGUGUGGUUACGUGGUAGCAGGGUCGGUCGUACGUAGGUGGCAAGCGUUAUCCGGAUUUAUUGGGCGUAAAGCGAGCGCAGGCGGUUGCUUAGGUCUGAUGUGAAAGCCUUCGGCUUAACCGAAGAAGUGCAUCGGAAACCGGGCGACUUGAGUGCAGAAGAGGACAGUGGAACUCCAUGUGUAGCGGUGGAAUGCGUAGAUAUAUGGAAGAACACCAGUGGCGAAGGCGGCUGUCUGGUCUGCAACUGACGCUGAGGCUCGAAAGCAUGGGUAGCGAACAGGAUUAGAUACCCUGGUAGUCCAUGCCGUAAACGAUGAGUGCUAGGUGUUGGAGGGUUUCCGCCCUUCAGUGCCGGACGCUAACGCAUUAAGCACUCCGCCUGGAGACGCCCGU